AACCAUAGAAACCUGCGGAGUACCUGCGGAAGGAUCAUUACCGAGUUAUACAACUCAUCAACCCCUGUGAACUUACCUACAACGUUGCUUCGGCGGGAACAGACGGCCCCGUAAAACGGGCCGCCCCCGCCAGAGGACCCCUAACUCUGUUUUUAUAAUGUUUUUCUGAGUAAACAAGCAAAUAAAUUAAAACUUUUAACAAUGGAUCU
Molecule: unclassified non-coding RNA, 209 nt
Filed under: soil metagenome
Description: partial contains 5.8S ribosomal RNA, internal transcribed spacer 2, and large subunit ribosomal RNA
Source: RNAcentral